AAACCAGCACCUCAAGUGGUCAGGAUGAUUAUUGGGCCUAAAGCAUCCGUAGCCUGCUCUGUAAGUUUUCGGUUAAAUCUGUACGCUUAACGUACAGGCUGCCGGGAAUACUGCAGAGCUAGGGAGUGGGAGAGGUAGACGGUACUCGGGAGGAAGUGGUAAAAUGCUUUGAUCUCUCGAUGACCACCUGUGGCGAAGGCGGUCUACCAGAACACGUCCGACGGUGAGGGAUGAAAGCUGGGGGAGCAAACCGGAUUAGAAACCCUGGUAGUCC
Molecule: ribosomal RNA, 274 nt
Filed under: uncultured bacterium
Lineage: Bacteria
Description: partial 16S ribosomal RNA
Rfam family: Archaeal small subunit ribosomal RNA
Source: RNAcentral